This is a long non-coding RNA of Anolis carolinensis (green anole), 3523 nucleotides long. Lineage: Eukaryota; Metazoa; Chordata; Lepidosauria; Squamata; Anolidae. The record is from Ensembl.
GAAGGAGUGAGAUGGACUUCUAAGUAGGUGCAGGACCUAUAUGGUUUGCACUUAGGGAGUGGAAACAACAACCAGGACUCCAAUGGAGGAGUAAAGAGGGUGAGGAUUGGGCUCAUGCAGCUGGAUGUAUUUGCUCUUGUAGCCAAAUCGAGGAGAGGAUAAAAGGCUAGGUCCAUGGACGGGAACCCCAUUUCAGAGCGAUGGAUCUGAUCCUGCUGGGUGCUUUGCUCUCCAACUCCUGCAUACCUCUUUCUGGAGGGACCUUCUCCAUCGACCAGCCUCUGUUCCAAAGCUACAUGCAAGAGGCCACCAAUGGCACCAGCGACCAAACAAAGAGGCACUGGAGCUACUAUGUGCUGAUUGUUGUGGCCCUCACUGGCUCCUUGGUCUUCCUCUGCUUCUGUUCUCCUGCCCUUAAAUGGCUGCUUUCCCGCUGCCUCCGCUCCAAUGGAGAUGAGGCAAGGACUCCCUUGAGGGACGCUCGCUGCAGUCGAUGCUGGCCCCCAAACUAUGGCACCCUCUCUGAGACUGUGGUCCCACCGCCCCUCAUUCCCAAGGACACCCAAGAACACACUGGAGGCCAAGAAGCCCCAGGAGAAGUCCCCAAGGCUUCCGUGGAGAAGCGUGGAGACCAACCUGGAACUGAUUCAGAGAUCACCUUGGAAGUGGAAGAUGCUGAAGGCCAAGAAGCCCCAGGAGGUCCCAAAGCUCCAGUGGAGAAGCGUGGAGACCAACCUGGAGCUGAUUCGGAAGUCACCUUGGAAGGGGAAGAUGCUGGAGGCCAAGAAACCCCAGGAGGCCUGAAGGCUCCAGUGGAAAAACGUGGAGACCAACCUUGAGCUGAUUCAGAAGUCACCUUGGAAGGGGAAGACCUGGCCUAAGCAGCGGUGGCCCCAGUAGCCCUCCGUCAAGCAAACCUUGCUCUGUACAAUCAUCAUUUUUAGGCUGUAUGACAUUUUAAUCUCAUAUUAUCGAAUAGGGUGGCUAUUCUUUUAAAUGCAACAACUUCCCCAAAUUUUCCUUUUACAAACACCAUGCUGGCAUUACACCCAUCGCCUUUUGGUGCCAGGAUGAGUAGCUUGUAACUCUCUAUAUGUUGGACAGCAAGUCCCAUCAGCCCCCAUCAGUCAAUGGUGAAGGAUGGUGGGAGUUAAAUACUACCAACAGCUAGAAUGCCUUUACUUUGUACCAAAUGCUCCCCAACUUUAGAGCAGGGUAACCAAGUGUAGCUUUCCAAACAUUGGACUCUAAUUCCCAGCAUUUCUGGAAUGGUUGGGACUGGGGUUUGCAAUCUAUAUAGUCCCCAUCCUGUUACAGAGACUUACCCCAAUAUUUGGCUACAGCGCCCAGCAUUCCAAACUUCUGGUUGUUGUAGUCCAACUGUUCAAUUGCUGGCACAGAGACUAUUUCUCCAAAGAGCUUCAUAGCCAAGACCAGACAAGAAAUUAUAUCAUUGAAACUCCCCAUGAAACAUCUGAGCUGGCAAUACCUGGGCAUCCUGAAUCCUAGAGCAAUGCAAUUUGGGUUGCUUUACCUACAAAAUAAUUCUAGUCCAACUGAUAUUUCCUUUUGAACUCUGAAUAUUUAGAUUGUUCAUAUCUCUGGAGGCAAAACUAAGGGUAAAUGUGCCUUAUGGAGUUUCUAUGUUACAUGGGGUUGCCUUUUUAAACAAACUUUAAAAGUUCCACAAUCACUUCUGUGAACUUGAACCCAAAGAAGCCAUAAUCACUUUCUGAACACACUACUUUGAAGACACAAGAAGAAUCUGUAUUCUUCCCACAGACACACAACAUUAUGUUUUCAAAUCUAGGCACCAAAGUAUCUGAAAUAAAGUAUGUAUCAUUUUGCAAUGGGUCUCCUGAAAGAGUUUGUUCAAAGUGAGGUUUCAUCGUCGGUUGGUCUUAUGCCUUUGCUGCAAUUGUAGUGCUGGCUCUACUAUCUGGGAUGUGGCCAUAGUUUUCCCCAGAACCCAAGCCUUGCUGGGUUACUGUAGCUAUAUAGGAUGCUGUGGAAGCAUGGGAGGUGUGAUUUUGUAAGGUCUUGAGUCUUCUCUGUCAAGCUACAACUCCCAAGACUCCAUGACAUUGAGCCAACUGAGUUAAAGUGGUGUCGAACCAUAUUAAUUUCACAGUGCAGGUGCACCCAGGAUAGGCAAAACAGACAUGGAGUUUCAUGUGGCAGCCAAGACUGUAUGGGUGUCUCCAAAGUCCCUGGAUGAGUUGUUUUCUGGCUGCUGAGGAUGGUCAAUUGCCUAGCAGGCAAUCUACAAAUGCAGCAAUUCGUUUUUAAAGAUUUCCUGCAUUGUUUAGCAUUUGGGAUGGGGUGGGAAUACCUAUUUUGAAAACCAGAUAUGAGCAUGUAGUUUUGCUUAAUACUUUCCUCAUUUGGGAGGGGUGUGUGCUACACUGUGUGGUCACCCAGAGGGUCCCAGCAAGCCUGUAGCCAAAGGGCGGUUUAGGGGUUCAAACCACCCCCCAAAAUUUUCAGAUUAAAAAAAAAACUGGUUUACUCAUGAAUUUUAACUGGUUAACCAAAUCCCCACACCAAGUCUAUGAGAAGCAAAAAUUAGAGUCCCUCCAGAACUGCAAGCACAAUCUCCACCAAAUUUGGAUUAUCCACACUAUCAUUACCUAUCUUUCUACCAAUUUACAUUGCAAUAGCAGCAAUAGUUGAUGGAUAGUGGAAGUGACCAAGUUGGUGUACCCAUAGCCAGGGCUGGCCCAAGUACAGUAUAGGCAAACAGAAUUUUGACGCCUACCCCCCCCCCAACCAAUCACUGAAAAAUAAAAGCGUUGGAUAAGCGAAAAUGUUGGAUAAUAAGGAGGGAUUAAGGAAAAGCCUAAAUAAAGAACAACACUCUGGAAACGGGAAAUCCAGACAGGAAACAAUCAGAGCCAGCUAACAUUUCCCAACCAAGGAUGCCCCCAGGGAGGAAGCAGCCAGGCUUUGAAUCUGCAAGACCAUUAAAUGCUAAUCAAGCUGGCCAAUUGCAACAUUCACACUAGCCUCAAACAGACAAGAGCUCUGGCAAGAAGGAAAGCGCUCGCCCAAAGCAGCGACCUUAUUCCUUGCGGAUGCAGGCACGGCAGCGGAGGCAGGAGUUGCCUCAACAGCGCCCCCUACAGGAUGGCGCCACAGGCAACUGCCUAGUUUGCCUCGCGGUUGAACCGCCCCUGCCCGUAGCUGUCAGGCAAAGUCUAAGACAUGGGGCAGAAGGGAGGGGAGGGGGAUCUUGGUGCAUUGGUGGCUAAACCAUUUGUGUGAUGGAAAAAUGAAAUAGAAAUCUUCAAUAGACACCAAAAAAACUGUACAAUCUGAGUAACUUGUGCUUGGCUGAAAACUUCUUGCUAAUUCACAGUGGAAAACAUCUUGUUAUAACUCAUCAUCUUGAAAAAGGAAGAAAGCAGAAGAAAACAAAGAAACUUCUGCCAAUUGUAGAAACUAUUGUCCUUUGUGGUCGACAAGAACUGGCUUUAAGAGGGAGCAAUGUUUCAGGACCUAUUAUCUGUGGAGAACCUUUGCA